UGGGUUGUAGCUCUGUGGUAGAGCAUUUGACUGCAGAUCAAGAUGUCACUAGUUCAA
This 57-nucleotide transfer RNA is filed under the name Alligator mississippiensis (American alligator). It matches the Rfam family "tRNA", at positions 1 to 56 of the family's 71-position model. Rfam says of the family: Transfer RNA (tRNA) molecules are approximately 80 nucleotides in length. Their secondary structure includes four short double-helical elements and three loops (D, anti-codon, and T loops). The record is from Rfam by way of RNAcentral. Lineage: Eukaryota; Metazoa; Chordata; Crocodylia; Alligatoridae.